CACUUGCUGCUCGUUUGGCAAUGAGGACCUCCACCAACCACAGGAUAGCAUCUGGCAUGAGAUAGCAGUGCACCUGCUAAUACUUACACCAGAGUUAGCAGAACUGCCUUCCAUAUUCCUGGAAUCAUGAGAUCUUGGAAGAACAUACUCAACUGAAAGAAAAAAAAAGAAAGAAGACUUUCUCAUCUACUUGCUCCCCAGAUUUUUGAAACGGAUCCAAUGAAUAAUCUUUGGUGGUAGUGGUUGUUAAAAUGGCUGGUGGAGGCAAAGAGGGAUGACGGGAAAUUUUGGAGUCAAAACUCUGGAAUUCUCUGUGUUUUCUGGUGGCAGACGUUUCAUGUAUUAGUUCACUUAAAAUUUGCAUCAAAGACUAUAACCUGACAAUAUGAGAAUUAUACUUUUUUUUCCCCCAUUUUGCUCUGCAUUUUAAGGCCAUCCCAAGCCCAAUGGCAUUUUCCUGUUGCAUUUUGCUGGUGGUGUCACCAUAAGACAUAUUAAAAUGAAUGAGAUGUA
Molecule: long non-coding RNA, 513 nt
Organism: Herpailurus yagouaroundi (jaguarundi)
Lineage: Eukaryota; Metazoa; Chordata; Mammalia; Carnivora; Felidae
Exons: 2
Source: RefSeq, a predicted model, not a curated record